This 88-nucleotide transfer RNA is filed under the name Massilia polaris. RNAcentral's name for it is "tRNA-Ser". It matches the Rfam family "tRNA". From Rfam's summary of the family: Transfer RNA (tRNA) molecules are approximately 80 nucleotides in length. Their secondary structure includes four short double-helical elements and three loops (D, anti-codon, and T loops). Lineage: Bacteria; Pseudomonadati; Pseudomonadota; Betaproteobacteria; Burkholderiales; Oxalobacteraceae. The record is from RNAcentral.
GGUAGCAUGGCUGAGAGGCCGAAAGCAGCGGGUUGCUAACCCGUAGAGUCGCAAGGCUCCCAAGGUUCGAAUCCUUGUGCUACCGCCA